RNAcentral lists this ribosomal RNA (254 nucleotides) under uncultured Methanobacteriales archaeon. RNAcentral describes it as "partial 16S ribosomal RNA". It matches the Rfam family "Archaeal small subunit ribosomal RNA", at positions 474 to 727 of the family's 1478-position model. Lineage: Archaea; Methanobacteriati; Methanobacteriota; Methanobacteria; Methanobacteriales. The record is from RNAcentral.
CACCCGCGCCACGAGUGGGAAUCACAGUUAUUGGGUUUAAAGCGUCCGUAGCCGGUUCAACAAGCUUUUUGUGAAAUUGGUCAGCUUAACUGAUCAGCGGGCAAAAAGGACUGUUAAACUAGGAACUAGGAGAGGUUGAGAGUAUUCCUAGGGGAGCGGUAAAAUGUUAUAAUCCUAGGAGGACUACCGAUGGCGAAGGCACUCAACCAGAAUAGAUUUGACGGUGAGGGACGAAAGCCAGGGGAGCGAUCCGG